This 72-nucleotide transfer RNA is filed under the name Candidatus Kaiserbacteria bacterium RIFCSPHIGHO2_02_FULL_50_50. RNAcentral describes it as "tRNA-Arg". It matches the Rfam family "tRNA". From Rfam's summary of the family: Transfer RNA (tRNA) molecules are approximately 80 nucleotides in length. Their secondary structure includes four short double-helical elements and three loops (D, anti-codon, and T loops). Lineage: Bacteria; Candidatus Kaiseribacteriota. RNAcentral also lists the same sequence under 1 other name. The record is from RNAcentral.
GCGCUCAUAGUGAAAUGGAUAUCAUUCUUGACUUCGGAUCAAGCGUUCUGGGUUCGAGUCCUGGUGGGCGCA